UACUCAGCCUUCCACUUGAUCAAGUAACAGGAUCAAGAAACACUCUCUAUUUUAUUUUUUUGAUAAGAAAUAUACAUUCUUCUCGUCAUUAUACAAACUCUAAUCAAUUUCGUUGCUUUUGUCACAUAGUAAAGAUGUAUCAUUAUCAUCACUUGACAUAUAUGAAUCAGUAUCUUCUAAAAUAUAAUUGAUUUUUCCAUCAUCUGAGCAAAAGACACUUGCGAGAUACAUCUAUAGCCUCAGCAACCCUGUACCCAGACAGAAUGAUAAAUAUACAUUGAUACUGUACACAUUGAAAGAGUUGAAGUUGACUAAGACCCUUUUGAAAAAAGGUGGCACUAAACCAGCCUAUCAAAGACCCCUGACAAUCUUCAGUUUGCUCCGAAAUGUGAAAGACUCUUGAAAUCAAGAGUAUAAGAAUGGAGCUUAUAAAAUCCCAUUACACAAUCUAGAUAAUGGAGCUGAUGAAGUUUACAUGGAUGCAACAGCAAGGAAUCUGAGUGAUAGAAUACUAGAGCAUAAAAGAAGCAUAAAGAAUGCCACAUUAACCACAGCUUUGGCUUCCAGAGCAUGUGAGAACAAUGUUGAAAUAAAAUGGGACGAGGCAAAAAUUGUGAAGCAGGUAUGCAAUCUGCAAGAAUUAUCAAUAGCUGAGAACUUGCAGAUCCAUAAGAAAAGGCAGGAGUUCAUCUAAUUAACAACAAUAGGCAGGUGCAAGACCUCCCCAAACCAUGGAGAUAUUUGCUCAAGUCAUACCCCUAAAUUCAUGUGGGUUACAGAUAUAGUAAGACGAUUCUAAAAAAGAUUGUAAUACAUAAUUGUAAUGAACCUUUAGACUGGUUUACCUGCAAGUUAUAGAGUUUAUAGUAGC
RNAcentral lists this long non-coding RNA (871 nucleotides) under Androctonus crassicauda. Lineage: Eukaryota; Metazoa; Arthropoda; Arachnida; Scorpiones; Buthidae. The record is from RNAcentral.